AGAUUGAACGCUGGCGGCAGGCCUAACACAUGCAAGUCGAGCGGCAGCACGGGUACUUGUACCUGGUGGCGAGCGGCGGACGGGUGAGUAAUGCCUAGGAAUCUGCCUGAUAGUGGGGGAUAACGCUCGGAAACGGACGCUAAUACCGCAUACGUCCUACGGGAGAAAGCAGGGGACCUUCGGGCCUUGCGCUAUCAGAUGAGCCUAGGUCGGAUUAGCUAGUUGGUGGGGUAAUGGCUCACCAAGGCGACGAUCCGUAACUGGUCUGAGAGGAUGAUCAGUCACACUGGAACUGAGACACGGUCCAGACUCCUACGGGAGGCAGCAGUGGGGAAUAUUGGACAAUGGGCGAAAGCCUGAUCCAGCCAUGCCGCGUGUGUGAAAGAAGGUCUUCGGAUUGUAAACGCUAACUUUAAAGGUUAGGAAGGAAGGCAAGUUCGACCUAAUACGUAUCUAGUUUUGACGUUACCGACAGAAAUAAGCACCGGCUAACU
RNAcentral lists this ribosomal RNA (494 nucleotides) under uncultured soil bacterium. RNAcentral's name for it is "bacterial SSU rRNA". It matches the Rfam family "Bacterial small subunit ribosomal RNA", at positions 26 to 502 of the family's 1533-position model. The record is from RNAcentral.